UGCCGCGUGUGUGAAGAAGGCCUUCGGGUUGUAAAGCACUUUUGUCCGGAAAGAAAUCCUUGGCUCUAAUACAGUCGGGGGAUGACGGUACCGGAAGAAUAAGCACCGGCUAACUACGUGCCAGCAGCCGCGGUAAUACGUAGGGUGCGAGCGUUAAUCGGAAUUACUGGGCGUAAAGCGUGCGCAGGCGGUUUGCUAAGACCGAUGUGAAAUCCCCGGGCUCAACCUGGGAACUGCAUUGGUGACUGGCAGGCUAGAGUAUGGCAGAGGGGGGUAGAAUUCCACGUGUAGCAGUGAAAUGCGUAGAGAUGUGGAGGAAUACCGAUGGCGAAGGCAGCCCCCUGGGCCAAUACUGACGCUCAUGCACGAAAGCGUGGGGAGCAAACAGGAUUAGAUACCCUGGUAGUCCACGCCCUAAACGAUGUCAACUAGUUGUUGGGGAUUCAUUUCCUUAGUAACGUAGCUAACGCGUGAAGUUGACCGCCUGGGGAGUACGGUCGCAAGAUUAAAACUCAAAGGAAUUGACGGGGACCCGCACAAGCGGUGGAUGAUGUGGAUUAAUUCGAUGCAACGCGAAAAACCUUACCUACCCUUGACAUGGUCGGAAUCCUGCU
RNAcentral lists this ribosomal RNA (614 nucleotides) under Burkholderia sp. IBa205. Its description in RNAcentral is "bacterial SSU rRNA". It matches the Rfam family "Bacterial small subunit ribosomal RNA", at positions 395 to 1002 of the family's 1533-position model. The record is from RNAcentral. Lineage: Bacteria; Pseudomonadati; Pseudomonadota; Betaproteobacteria; Burkholderiales; Burkholderiaceae.